CGCCUCUCAAAGUGGCUGUGAAAUGUUUGUUUUUUAUGUAUUCAUAUCACAGCCAGCUUUGAAGAGCGAUU
This 71-nucleotide microRNA precursor is filed under the name Lutzomyia longipalpis. RNAcentral describes it as "mir-2 microRNA precursor". It matches the Rfam family "mir-2 microRNA precursor family". Rfam says of the family: The miRNAs are transcribed as ~70nt precursors (modelled here) and subsequently processed by the Dicer enzyme to give a ~22nt product. In this case the mature sequence comes from the 3' arm of the precursor. The record is from RNAcentral. Lineage: Eukaryota; Metazoa; Arthropoda; Insecta; Diptera; Psychodidae.